AGUGGAUGGGGAGCAACCUAGUUGUGCGUGUGUAAAGGUAGUGCCAAGAAAAGCGAUGAUCAUGUUGAAAAUCAAUUCCCGGUACCCGAAACCGACACAGGUGGGCAAGUAGAGAAUACUAAGGGGCGCGAGGUAACUCUCUCCAAGGAACUCGGCAAAAUGACCCCGUAACUUAGGGAGAAGGGGUGCCACCGAGAGGUGGUCGCAGUGAAGAGGCCCAGGCGACUGUUUAGCAAAAACAUAGGUCUCUGCAAACUCGAAAGAGGAGGUAUAGGGGCUGACGCCUGCCCAGUGCCGGAAGGUUAAAGAAGUUGGUCAGUCUUAGGAUGAAGCUAGCGACUGAAGCCCCGGUGAACGGCGGCCGUAACUAUAACGGUCCUAAGGUAGCGAAAUUCCUUGUCGGGUAAGUUCCGACCCGCACGAAAGGCGUAACGAUCUGGGCGCUGUCUCGGAGAGAGGCUCGGCGAAAUAGGAUUGACUGUGAAGAUACGGACUACCUGCAUUUGGACAGAAAGACCCUAUGAAGCUUUACUAUAGCUUGGAAUUGUGUUCGGGCUUCCUGUGCGCAGGAUAGGUGGGAGGCGUAGAAGGUAUUCUUGUGGGGAUACUGGAGCCAACGGUGAGAUACCACUCUCAGGAGGCUAGAAUUCUAACUUAAUUAAGGACAGUUUCAGGUGGGUAGUUUGACUGGGGCGGUCGCCUCCAAAAAGGUAACGGAGGCGUACAAAGGUUCCCUCAGACUGGUUGGAAAUCAGUCGAAGAGUGCAAAGGCAGAAGGGAGCUUGACUGCGAGAAGUACAGUUCGAGCAGGGUGGAAACACGGUCUUAGUGAUCCGACGGUGCUGUGUGGAAGGGCCGUCGCUCAACGGAUAAAAGUUACUCUAGGAUAACAGGCUGAUCUCCCCCAAGAGUUCACAUCGACGGGGAGGUUUGGCACCUCGAUGUCGGCUCAUCGCAACCUGGGGCGGGAGUACGUCCCAAGGGUUGGGCUGUUCGCCCAUUAAAGCGGUACGUGAGCUGGGUUCAGAACGUCGUGAGACAGUUCGGUCCAUAUCCGAUGUAGGCGUGAGAAUAUUGAGAGGAGCCUUCCUUAGUACGAGAGGACCGGGAAGGACGCACCGCUGGUGUACCUGUUAUGAUGCCAAUUGUAAACGCAGGGUAGCCAAGUGCGGAGAGGAUAACCGCUGAAAGCAUCUAAGUGGGAAGCCCACCUCAAGAUGAGUAUUCUGGUGUAAGGUCACGGGAAGACGACCCGUAAAUAGGCACGAGGUGGAAGUGCAGAGAUGUAUGAAGCCGAAGUGUACUAAUAGACCGUCGGCUUGACC
Molecule: ribosomal RNA, 1325 nt
Filed under: metagenome
Description: bacterial LSU rRNA
Rfam family: Bacterial large subunit ribosomal RNA
Source: RNAcentral